Molecule: ribosomal RNA, 463 nt
Filed under: uncultured bacterium
Lineage: Bacteria
Description: partial 16S ribosomal RNA
Rfam family: Bacterial small subunit ribosomal RNA
Source: RNAcentral
CUACGGGGCGCAGCAGUGGGGAAUAUUGCACAAUGGGCGCAAGCCUGAUGCAGCCAUGCCGCGUGUAUGAAGAAGGCCUUCGGGUUGUAAAGUACUUUCAGCGGGGAGGAAGGGAGUAAAGUUAAUACCUUUGCUCAUUGACGUUACCCGCAGAAGAAGCACCGGCUAACUCCGUGCCAGCAGCCGCGGUAUACGGAGGGUGCAAGCGUUAAUCGGAAUUACUGGGCGUAAAGCGCACGCAGGCGGUUUGUUAAGUCAGAUGUGAAAUCCCCGGGCUCAACCUGGGAACUGCAUCUGAUACUGGCAAGCUUGAGUCUCGUAGAGGGGGGUAGAAUUCCAGGUGUAGCGGUGAAAUGCGUAGAGAUCUGGAGGAAUACCGGUGGCGAAGGCGGCCCCCUGGACGAAGACUGACGCUCAGGUGCGAAAGCGUGGGGAGCAAACAGGAUUAGAUACCCUAGUAGUC